UGCCCGUCACUCACCUUCACCCACCUCUUUUAACCUCGGAUUGCGUAUUCGCGUAAUGUCUGCUUGAACUUGGUAUAUUGGAUUGGGAUUGCCAAUGUCUUGAGAUCCCAAGCCAAAUAACGAACCAAUAUAUAGUCCUUUGCAUGAAUCAUGAAUAUUUCGGAUGCAAUAGUUACCGAUGAAAACUGAACAUGCAACCCGGACGAGGAAAAGAGAAACAACGAAAACCAAAAGAAAAAGUUGAAGAAAAAGAAAAAGAAAAAAGAGAAGAAAAAAACAGAAACACGUAUAUCAAACUCGUUAACUUAUUUACAGAAAAUCUCUGACGUUAUACGCCCGCGCCAUAACGUACCUCGAUAUUUAAUAAUCUAAUGGAGAGUUCCCUUUCUGACUACCAGAGUCUAAAGGGAAAACCCAAAAGCCCACCCGUGGACUCAUAUACAACUGAAAAGUACGA
RNAcentral lists this small RNA (457 nucleotides) under Histoplasma capsulatum. Its description in RNAcentral is "hypothetical RNA". RNAcentral also lists the same sequence under 1 other name. Lineage: Eukaryota; Fungi; Ascomycota; Eurotiomycetes; Onygenales; Ajellomycetaceae. The record is from RNAcentral.